Molecule: ribosomal RNA, 253 nt
Filed under: uncultured bacterium
Lineage: Bacteria
Description: partial 16S ribosomal RNA
Rfam family: Bacterial small subunit ribosomal RNA
Source: RNAcentral
UACGUAGGUGGCAAGCGUUAUCCGGAUUUAUUGGGUGUAAAGGGCGUGUAGGCGGGAGCGCAAGUCAGAUGUGAAAACUCAGGGCUCAACCCUGAGCCUGCAUUUGAAACUGUGUUUCUUGAGUGCUGGAGAGGCAAUCGGAAUUCCGUGUGUAGCGGUGAAAUGCGUAGAUAUACGGAGGAACACCAGUGGCGAAGGUGGAUUGCUGGACAGUAACUGACGCUGAGGCGCGAAAGCGUGGGGAGCAAACAGG